Molecule: ribosomal RNA, 2638 nt
Filed under: Triticum aestivum (bread wheat)
Lineage: Eukaryota; Viridiplantae; Streptophyta; Magnoliopsida; Poales; Poaceae
Description: partial small subunit ribosomal RNA
Source: RNAcentral
AACACUAGGUUGCCCUUCGUCAGUUGAGGAUACAUCUAGAGGCGGCCGAAGAAGGUAAGGUAAACAGGUGGGGCUGAGGGGACUAGAGCGGUAGGAGGAGAGUGUCUAGGAGGAGGGAGGGGUACGUGCCGGCGACGGUGGAGGGGUGGGUACCGGUAGACGGGGAGACGCAGGGCGUCGGCGGCACUGCUAUCGGAGCAGGGGUCUCCGCCCCUGAAGGGACUUCCGCUUGGAUCGCCGCCAUGUCAACUACACCCAGCCCGCCGCCAGUCUAGACGGUGUCGGUCUUGGCCGCAGGAGAAGGAGGGAUAGGACGAAGGAGGGUACUGACUCUUCUCCCGAAACAGUUCAUAGGGUACUGCCUCUAGUUGUACCCUCCGACGAAGGAGGCUAGGGUCUAGCUGGUAGGCAGCUACCUCCGGUACUCUCGGUGCACCCGUGUGUGUACCGACGCAAAGUUCGACGUCGAGCUAUCUACGUCCCUGCGGCGGUACCUUAUCAGUCCCAGAGGGAAGAGGGCAAAGCAGACUAGACGGUGACGGUCGGUAAAGGCCGCGGGGACGUGGUGCUGCCACUUCCCGUGUUACUACUUAAGUUGCGUUCUAGGACGACCACUAGGUUGUCUACCCUCGGGUUUUCUGCGUUUGUGUAGACUACGGAUUCUUUUCCUGACCGUUUAUUUUAUCCUUAGGUUUGAACGUUUUAAGAGAAAAUGUCUGGCGAUCAUGAUGACCCUAAGAUCCAUGUUCCGUGUUUCAUUAACGAGGUUUAUGCGAGUAUGUUCAACGUUUUUACUUAAGAGCUUACAAAGCUGGUUACCAUUCAGUGUCCGAACCAAACAGAAGUACAACCGGAAACAAACUAUGUUACCAUUCAGUGUUCGAACCAAACAGAAGUACAACCGGAAAUAAACUAUGCAUUUACCGGAAGUAUUACACGUUAGUAGAUGAACGAAUGUAAUAACAUGAAAAAACAACGACUUCGUGUAUGUUCGGUCUUUAUCUUGUAAAAAGAGUGGUAAUCUUUAACACUUGAACGCGGUCGUACAUCAACAAAGUCUCUUCAAAUCAAACUAAUUAAAUCUAUUAAUAAGAACACAAAAUUGAUGUUUAAGAAAACACUUUAAUAGGUUAAGAAAAACGUAUCGUGGAUUAACAACUACAUCAUGUUGUCUGUGUUCUUAAACGAACGAUCGACAACACCAGUACUGUUAAGCACUCCUUCUAUGCGUACGUACGUGCUUAUAUCAUUAAUAUGUUAACAGUACUAUCACCAAUAUAGAAAGACGAUUAAUCAGUAACACAACAAAGAAAUAAAAGCACUGAUUCCGGAUCAAACCGUUGUGUCAAAAAGGUUUUGGUACCAUUACUUUUGGAGCCAUAAGGUUACACACCCGUUACUUAUGAAGCCAAAGAUUUUUGGCGUCAAAAAGAGUCAAAUUCGUUUUGAUAUCUCUACAAACCGUUCACGUCAAAAAGAAUCAAAGAACCAAAACUGGUGAGUAACGUACCUAUUAGGAUCUAUGUCGAUCGACUUGGUUUAACUCGAUGUUGUUUCCUCAAUAUGUUGCUGCACUAGUCGAACACGAUUAAUUGCCGACCACGUACGCCGUACGGCUAUCGGAACAGUACGUGCGCUUGUAGGAGAUCUACGAUCCUAUACAACAACUUAUUAGAACAUAGAGACCGGUGUACCUUAGCUAGUCGAUCGAUCGAAUCUGACAACACAUAUUGAAACGAGUAAUAGUUAGCUAGAUGAGGUCCCAGAUUCGGAAGCGAUUUAGAAAACAUGCACAUGUGUGUGGUAGGCUAUCCUGACUUGGAGAUCAUGAUAGAUUACAUAUCCGACGAAGAACAACGUGAUCUUGUUAUCGGUUGCUAACUUCUGUAGUCGCUGUCUCAUCAGUUCGAAGGAUCCACCAUUAGAAUUAAAACACCGACGCCUUCUCUACCCACUCCUCCUGGCCUUCUUCUACCUGAGCUCGUUCACAAAGAAUCAAAUGUUUUUUCUCCAACUCUGGAGAAAAAAUCUAUGUCGUUUUUUUGGUACCAAAAUCUAUAUGGUGCCAAACAUUUUGAUUUCAUAAACAGCUUUGGUUUGUGCAGUUUCAUAAAUUUUGACCCCAAAGAGGUUUUUGGUACCAUAAGAGAAUUUUGAAGUUUUUAUGACUCAUCGGUUUGUGUCGUAUUCAUAAAAGAUAAAAGUUAAUUGAACUCGAUUUAUUUAAAGACUAAAGAAGUAUUGUCCUAGGUUUCUAAAUCGACCUUACCUGAGAUCUGGUACCUGUUAAAUUAUAAGCGAGAAUUAAUCCUACCGUGUAAGUCAUACAAUUUACGUACGAUUUAAUAUAAUGCCAAAUAACACUACCUAUAACCGAUACGUUUGAAACUACAAACUACUUAGAUGUAGUAUAUACGUAAUAAACUUAGUACAUUAACUUACGGUCAUAAAAAAAACAAUGUCAUCCGAUAAUGGUGUUCGAUGAAAACCAACGUUGUACAACCGUGGUACUUUUUAAUCGCAACGCAGCGGUGCGGCUGGACAAAACAUCGUGAUCCGACACCACUGUCUUGUGAAGUAUAUCAGCGUUAUUGAAUAGUGGUGUUUUAGAGUCAGGCAACUCUAUUGAUGAACAGUG